Molecule: long non-coding RNA, 1586 nt
Filed under: Bos indicus x Bos taurus (hybrid cattle)
Lineage: Eukaryota; Metazoa; Chordata; Mammalia; Artiodactyla; Bovidae
Description: lncRNA (ENSBIXG00005005314.1)
Source: RNAcentral
AUUCUGUUAGCUUGUUGAAAAUUCAGGAUAAAAUUCUUUUGCAUGAAAGAUUAGUAGAUUUUCAAAGAAGCCAAAGAAGCCACUGUGAAUUACUUAGAGGAUAAUUUUACAGAAUGAAAAGUAAGGUUCGUGGGCUAAAAAAGAGCUGUCAGAAACCAAAGAAGUGAAAUCACAGUUAGGCCAUCAGAAAGUGGAAUGGGAAUGAGAGCUCAGCAGCUUGAGAUUCACCUUAAAGCAAGAAGAAGAGAAUAGAAGAAAUGCCGAGAUGUUAUAUGAAAAAAUGAGGGAGCAUUUAAGAAGAAAAGAAGACCAAUAUAGUAAAGAAGUUGAAGUGAAACAGCACCUAGAACUCACUUUCCAAGCAGUAAAAGUGAUAGUGAAGACUGAGAGAAAUAAUCUGAAUCAGUUGAUGUUCAGUUUGCAUCUGAUGCCUUUAGUGUGUCUUCUUGAGGAUCUACAGAUUGGUCAAAUGUGUGUGAUGACCUACUUUUGUAAACAGAAGAACAAGAUAUACAGAUUUGGAAGGAAAAAUACAUUAUUUAGAAAGAUAAAAAGGAAAAGUUUCUCUACUGGAACGUUCCCAUGAUAUUUCAUUGUUUCCCAUUAAACAUGAUGAGAAAAUCUUUAUUAAAGGAAAAUGUUUUUGUAUUAUGUGUGUAUGAUGAAAAUUUAUAUAGCAUUUUAAGUGAUGUUUCUCUGCAUCUAAGUUACUUUUUAGCAGAUUUAAACAUCAGCACUGUUGAAUUUUCCAUAUUCUAAGUGAUAGUGUUAGUCACUCAAUUGUUUCUGACUCUGUGUGACCCCAUGGACUGUAGCCCACCAGGUUUCUCUGUCCAUGGAAUUCUCCAAGCAAGAAUACUGGAAUGGGGAGCCAUUCCCUUCUCCAGGGGAUCUUCCAGAUCCUGGGAUCAAACUGAGGUGACCUGCAUGGUGAUUCUUUACCAUUUUAGCUGCCAGGGAUGCCCUUUACAAACUCAGACUGAGCUCUAAUACCAGCUAUUUAAACAGCACCCAAGCAAGCAGACUUGCCAUUAAUAUUUAAUUUAUUUAAUAUUUAAUAAUUAAUUUAAUAUUUAAUUAAUAAUUAGAGCUCAGACUGAGCUUUAAUACCAGCUAUUUAAACAGCACCCAAACAAGCAGACUUGUCAUUAAUAUUUAGUGGUGUUGAUUGUUAGCAUUUUUGUAUUGUCCAGUUUUUAUUACUACUUAAAGAUUUAGAUACUGCUGUUAUGACUUCCGUCAAUGUUUUGAUGUGUUACAAUUGUUAAUAGUGGCAUAAAACUUACUAUAUGUAAUUUUAAACACAGAUUCAUAGGCCUUUCCUCAUGGAGAAAUAAGAUUUGCCUGAGUUUUUGCCUUUUAAAUGAAUUAACUUUUUAUAAUUUUUAUUCUUAAUUAGAGGAUAAUUACUUUACAAUAUUGUGAUGGUUUCUGCCAAACAUUGAUUUGAAUUGGCCAUAGGUAUGCGUAUGGCCCCUCCCUCUUGAACCUCCCUUCCCGUUCCACCCCUCUAGGUUGUCACAAAGCACCAACUUUAGGUUCACUGCAUCAUACAGCAAAUUCCAAAAAGACACAUGUACCCCAGU